Molecule: ribosomal RNA, 407 nt
Filed under: uncultured Armatimonadales bacterium
Lineage: Bacteria; Bacillati; Armatimonadota; Armatimonadia; Armatimonadales
Description: bacterial SSU rRNA
Rfam family: Bacterial small subunit ribosomal RNA
Source: RNAcentral
AUUAGGAAUCUUGCGCAAUGGGGGCAACCCUGACGCAGCGACGCCGCGUGCGGGACGAAGGCAUUCGUGUCGUAAACCGCUUUUCUCGGGGAAGAAGAAUGUGACGGUACCCGAGGAAUAAGCCCCGGCUAACUACGUGCCAGCAGCCGCGGUAAUACGUAGGGGGCGAGCGUUGUCCGAAGUUACUGGGCGUAAAGCGCGCGUAGGCGGUCCGUUAAGUCUGGGGUGAAAGGUUCAGCGCUCAACGCGAACAGUGCCUUGGAGACUGGGGGACUUGAGUGUGGGAGGGGGCAGUGGAAUUCCUGGUGUAGCGGUGAAAUGCGUAGAUAUCAGGAGGAACACCGAUGGCGAAGGCAGCUGCCUGGCCUAACACUGACGCUGAGGUGCGAAAGCGUGGGGAGCGAACG